UGCAAAACCUCAUUCCAGUGGAGGACGCAACAAAGCAAAUUCAAGAUCUUGUGAGAAAGAGGAAUAGAAGCUGUUCUGUUUUUGUGGAAGUGAAUACAAGAGGACAUCUAUACAACAGAAGCAAGCAUGAAAAGAAUGACAGAGAAUGGCAGAGGAAAUGAGUGAGAAGCCUGGCUCCAGCUCCUCCAUGACCUUUCCAUGCACAUUGGUGGCUGAUUGGUAUAUCGUCCCAGAGCUCUCUCUGCUCCGGAUUCCCAAGUGCUCCAGCUCUCCCAGUGGCUUCUCAUGAAUUCAAAGCAUAUGGAGCAGUAACUUUUUUGCAAGACACUUUUACGUUGUAUUUCUUUGAAACAGAAAAAUGGCAUGUUUGUUUCUGUGUCAGAUAAUUUAACACUGGAAAACAUGUGCUUUGCUAGGUUUCACUAAGAUGUUCUUAAGAUCUAGUUCUAGUAGUUUAAUUGGUAGUUCAAAACUUAAGAUCAACCUUAUCACUUGCUAGUAGCACUCCCUAUGAAACUGUAUGCAUCAGACAUCUAGAUUUUCCCACUUCUUCUCAAGACUUUUUGCAAUAGAGAUGAGAAAAUGCUUUUUAACAAGCUCAGCUGCAUAAAUAGCAUGAGUGUGGUUGGCAAGAAAA
Long non-coding RNA from Lagopus leucura (white-tailed ptarmigan), 637 nucleotides. RefSeq lists it as uncharacterized. The record is from RefSeq and is a predicted model, not a curated record. The transcript has 3 exons. Lineage: Eukaryota; Metazoa; Chordata; Aves; Galliformes; Phasianidae.